This 492-nucleotide ribosomal RNA is filed under the name uncultured bacterium. RNAcentral describes it as "partial 16S ribosomal RNA". It matches the Rfam family "Bacterial small subunit ribosomal RNA", at positions 29 to 507 of the family's 1533-position model. The record is from RNAcentral.
AGUGAACGCUGGCGGCAGGCCUAACACAUGCAAGUCGAACGGAAGAACAGUAAGAGCUCGCUCUUACGGGUGGCGACGGGCGGGUGAGUCAGGAAUAUAUCGCAAUCAUCUGUUUCUAGGGUGCUAACGCAGGCAAACUUACGCUAAUACCGCAUACGUCGUAAGGGUGAAAGCAGCGGAGCUCACGCUCUUAGGUGAGCCUAUGAGCCGAUGUCGGAUUAGCUAGUUGGCGGGGUAAAGGCCCACCAAGGCGACGAUCCGUAGCUGGUCUGAGAGGAUGAUCAGCCACACUGGAACUGAGACACGGUCCAGACUCCUACGGGAGGCAGCAGUGGGGAAUAUUGGACAAUGGGCGAAAGCCUGAUCCAGCCAUGCCGCGUGUGUGAAGAAGGUCUUCGGAUUGUAAAGCCCUUUUAUUUGGGAAGAAAAGCAGUAAGUUAAUACCUUGCUGUUUUGACGGUACCAACAGAAUAAGCACCGGCUAACUUCGUG